Molecule: RNA transcript, 5953 nt
Organism: Oncorhynchus kisutch (coho salmon)
Lineage: Eukaryota; Metazoa; Chordata; Actinopteri; Salmoniformes; Salmonidae
Gene name: junctophilin-1-like
Exons: 6
Source: RefSeq, a predicted model, not a curated record
AGAGAGGGAGGAGAUAUCAUCAUAAAAUAAACCAGGAGCGAUUCUGGCAGCGGUAGUGGCGCUCUCACUCUUCUUCCCACGUACCGCUUUAGCAGACCACCACAAAUCCACACAGUGACAAUAAUUAAUCUCUGCUUGCAACCACAACGCCACACCACACUAUCUACCGGACUCUCGCUUCAGUGUUGCUACUUUUCGUUUAAAAUACGCUCAGGAUUAGCGAGGGACAGCACAAUAUCCGGGGGCUACCACGACUCGUUCUUCUCCCCUCAUAAUCUGAAUGACGGGCGGACGGUUCGAUUUUGACGAUGGUGGCACAUAUUGCGGUGGCUGGGAGGAUGGAAAAGCCCAUGGGCAUGGCGUCUGUACCGGGCCCAAGGGCCAAGGAGAAUACUCCGGGUCCUGGAACAAUGGUUUUGAGGUAGUGGGGGUGUACACCUGGCCCAGUGGAAACGUGUAUCAGGGUUACUGGGCACAGGGGAAACGACACGGAUUCGGUGUGGAAUCGAAGGGAAAAUGGAUUUAUCGUGGUGAAUGGACUCAUGGAUUUAAAGGUCGAUACGGGGUCCGGCAAAGUCUCCACACGCCUGCUAGAUACGAUGGGACAUGGAGUAACGGUCUGCAAGAUGGAUAUGGAGUUGAAACGUAUGGUGAUGGAGGUACGUACCAGGGGCAGUGGACAGGAGGAAUGCGACACGGAUAUGGUGUGCGGCAAAGUGUACCUUACGGGAUGGCUACGGUUAUUCGCUCACCUCUUCGAACCUCGCUGGCCUCGCUCCGCAGCGAACAGAGCAACGGCACCGUCCUCCAUGCCAACCUCGACCUGUCAGACAGCCUUGCCGGCACCAGAGGAGGCUUUGUUCUCAACUUCCACAGCGAAGGCGAAGGUGAGAAGAAAAAAGGCUUGUUCCGAAGAGGGUCCCUGUUCGGCAGCCUCAGAAACCUCAGAAAGUCUGACUCCAGGUCGUCCAUAUCAAGCAAGCGCAGCUCCGCCCGCAGCGAUGCCGCCAGCUCCAUCAGCCGAAUCAGCUCCAGUGAUGCCAAUUCCACCAUCAGCUUCGGAGAUGGAGUUGAUGAGUACAUGCCCCUGGAGGACAAUGUAGAUGCCACCACCACUGAGUCCUACAUGGGGGAGUGGAAGAACGACAAGCGGAACGGCUUUGGUGUCAGCGAGCGCACCAACGGGAUGAAGUAUGAGGGAGAAUGGAUGAACAAUAAACGCCACGGCUACGGAUGCACAAUGUUCCCAGAUGGCACCAAAGAAGAGGGGAAAUAUAAAAACAAUGUGUUGGCGCGAGGCAUCAAAAAACAGCUCAUUCCUCUCAAAAACACCAAAACUAAACAGAAAGUGGAUCGGGCUGUAGAAGGAGCCAUACGGGCAGCAGCUAUUGCCAAAACAAAAGUAGAAAUAGCCACUUCAAGAACGGCUCACGCCAGGACUAAAGGUGAUGCUGCUGACCAGGCCGGUCAGUCUGCCAGUCAGGACUCAGACAUCGCCAGGGCAGUGGCAAGGGAACUGUCUCCCAACUUCCAUCAGCCAGGCCCUGAUUAUAUAAAGCAGAGGUUCAAUGAACCUAUUGAACCUAUUGUCCAAGAGGAGAAGAAAGAGAAGUCCUCCUCAAGUAGCCCUCAUUUCUACCGUAAAGGCACAACCCCAGACCACUCUCCCACUGCGACUCCCCAGCCCUCUCCCCCACCAACACCCCCACCAGCGCCAGCCCCAGAGCCCAAGAAGAGCCUCUUCAGCAAGCUCACCCCCAAGCCAGGGAAAGAGAAUAAAACCCCUUCAGCAGAGAGCCAGGCCCCGGUCAUCACAAAGGCAGUCUCUAAGACAUCGUUGAAACAGGAAGUAAGACAAGAAGUGCCUCCCCAACUGAAAACUUUCAAGAUGGCGGAGUCGGUCCCCGUCAGCCCUGGCAAUGGACAGCUGCACACUGACACUGAGUACCACGGCUACUACAUGAAGGCAGACGUGAAGAUCCCCCCAGAUGAACCUGAGGGAGUAGAGGAGGAGCAUGUUACCCCGUCCAACUUUGCCCAGAUGUCACAGCCCGCAAAACCUAUGGCGCAAUACAGGACACCCACCCCAAAACCUGGAGCGCCAAAGUCAGCAGCCAAAGAAAGCAAACCUGAGCUAACACUUAAGAAACAAGAUUCAUAUAAGCCAAAAAGCCUAGCAGAAACUAGGAAACAAGCCAGCUUGGAGAUCACCACGGAUUUCAUAGAGGAAGAGUCAGUAAGUAACUCAUACUGUAUGAUGAUGAAAAUGGGAAAACUGAAGCAAAGAGAAAGAAAGGUGUCAUUUCAGAACAACGUAUGAAACAUCAAAGGGUCCUAACUCAAUACUGGUUGCCCUUGUAAUGCUGUUGAAUAUUGGUCUAGCAAUAAUUUUUAUCCAUUUUUUAACCUGACGGAAUCUGAACUGAGUGAACUCAUCAAAACUAGUGGCAUAGGUCCCUAACUCUCUGCAUUUGCGUCAACGGCCUUUAAAAAUGGCACCGGUCAAGCACAGACACAGGCAAAGGAGGACUGUAAAUAGUGUGAAACAUUGGAGAAAGAUGAGACCAGGACCAUUCGGCCCAGACGCUGCCCAGUUUCGCUGGCGAUGAUUUGUGACUCGCUUUGGUUCUGUGAAAGCUGAAGCAAGCAGUCAUUGGGAAAGCAACAAAAAAACAAUCUGCUGAUCCAAGCUGUUUACCAGUCAAGUGCGUUGCCACUUCAUAUGCCCUGACAGGGGGGAUGUGGAGGGGGGUGGGCAGGGGGGGAUAUGUUCAGAGAUGCACUUUUAGUUGACAGAAGCUAACAGCUGCCUUACUAUUUUACCAUCUGACGUUUUAGUGGGGAGAUGCAGUGCACAAGGCUGCCAGAGGAAUGUGUUUCGGCAGACUUUGCUGCCUUGGGAGUGCGUCUCGGUGUGUCUCAGUGUUCACUAUACUUUUCACUUGGUCGAUAAGAAAUCAUACAUGUUUCGAAGUGGCACUCACCAGUCUUAUUCCAUUCCCCACUGCUAAAGCCGUCUAACUUCUCAUGUUAGGACAUGCUUGUGCAUGGGGCUGUUUCAAGUGCAUCUGUUUUAUGUAUUAGUUAGUAACUGUUAGGUUUUCAUAAUUGUUUUCCCUUUGUCUGUUUAUCCUUAGGUAUUACAAAUGAUUAAGAUAAGAUAGUAUUUAUUUAAGUCUAGUCCAUGCAUUUCUCAACUUUUUGAAGAUCCUUCAAAUUCAAAGGAAUUUCCAUAAAGCCUAUGUUACACAAAUCAGUUCAUUUGAAAGAAAUUGCAACAUUUAAUUCCAGUUAUUGUGAGGACAUAUUUCUAAAUAGUCCAAUUUGAGAGUAAUUUAUAUGCAAUUGAAGUAUCUUAGCAGUAUACAGGCACAGAUGUUUUUGACUAACCAGCUAUUGGCUGGAGGCUGGCUACAUAUAACACAAACUUAUAAGAUGACAUAGUUAACCAACACUGUGAUAAAAAAGUUGACUUUAUUUGAACAUGUUAGUAAUUUAGAGCUAAAUUUGGGAUAUUGAAUCAUUUUCCGACUGAUUCAAUAAAACACAUUUUUAUCUAUCUAUCUAUCUAUCUAUCUAUCUAUCUAUCUAUCUAUCUAUCUAUCUAUCUAUCUAUCUAUCUAUCUAUCUAUCUAUCUAUCUAUCUAUCUAUCUAUCUAUCUAUCUAUCUAUCUAUCUAUCUAUCUAUCUAUCUAUCUAUCUAUCUAUCUAUCUAUCUAUCUAUCUAUCUAUCUAUCUAUCUAUCUAUCUAUCUAUCUAUCUAUCUAUCUAUCUAUCUAUCUAUCUAUCUAUCUAUCUAUCCAGCCAGUGAUAAAGUUUGUUAACAUGGCUAGUCAUUCACACAGUGUACUUUAUGUAUACUGACCCUACAGUAUAUUGCACCAAAUUGGUUGCUUGUAAUUUGAUUGAUUUUAAGGCAAAGGACUGUAGUUUUGGGUGUGGUUUGCACUUGCAGAUAGAUUUUGCCAGUUUUUCUUGUGCAAUCAAGGAUCAAUGUGCAAAAUUUUUUAGUCUAAAGUGUUUUGUGAAAUAAAGGCAUAAUGGUUCAUUUUCAAAUGGAAGCAUAUGACUUUCCAAUUUCAUAUUUUUUUCCUAUUUUGUAGGAAAUAUGGCGUCCAACAUUGAUUUAUUGCCACAUGAAUAUAACAUACACAGUAGAUUGGCACAUGAAGAGAAUACAUACAUAAGAAUAAAGUGAUUUGUUUGGUUUGAUUUUAAUUAGAAAAUAUGCAGUUGCAUCUUGUAGAAUAAUGUUGAGGAAUUGUUAGAUUAAAAAAAAAAACUGUGUGCACAGGUUGGUUGGUUGAUGCAUGUCAAAUUGUUUCCUUAAUAGUUUGGCGUCUUUAAUUUGGCCAAGCCAACACCACAGCUAGCCUACCAACACUGGACCUCAUACUUACUAACUUGCACGGUUGUGAAAGCAGCCCAAUGCUCGAAACCUACUCCGCAAUAACACCUUGUUAUGUGUGUUGAAUACAUUCAGGUAGAGUAAAUGGUUGGCUAAAUGUCAUAACAUUAGCAUGACGUUCCAGUUUACUUUGGAUAAGACAGUAGAGAGAGAGUCAUUGUCUUAAAUAUGUGAAAGUCUAAUUACUGUAUUCAAUGUCAUCAAUAUAAUAUUUUAUUUUUGUUGUGACUAGUUAGCUAAGCAUGCCUAUUCGGUUUUAUUUUUUGAAUAAUAAAUAUGUUCUGUUUGCUCAGUUAAAAUAGAAUGAAAUGUAUUAUAUUUAUAAAACUGUACAUUUUGGUAAACUGUUUGAUAGGUGUAGGAGAUGCAUUUUCACUGGUUAUGGUAACAUUUCCAUUUGCAACAAUGCUGAGAGUAUGGUAUGAGGAGGAUGUGAAGGAUGCAUCAGUUGGAAUUCAGGGCAGUAACAUUGAGAUGUUUUACAGAGGUUUGGUCAGACAGACUGCCACAGAGAGAAUGUGAGAUUGGAAGAAGAAAGCAUCAGAAGGGGAAAUGGCUCCAGAUAUGUUUAUUACUACUUUUCUGAGUGUAAAGUAAUAAAGAACAUUUAGAGCACAGAGUUAAAGGGCAAUUCCGCCACUUUUCCACCUCAUAUUCAUGAUCUCUUGCACCAUACCACCCACUGGGCACAGAUGUCAAGUCAACGUCUUUUCCACGUUGGUACAAUGUAAUUUCAUUGAAAUUACAUGGAAACAACGUUGAUUCAACCACUGUGUGCCCAGUGGGAAGUGUCUACAUAUAUGAAAACGGUGCAUUUCUAUGAUCCGUGGUUAAAAAGAGGAAAUACCAAAAAAAAAAAUGCUUCUCUACGACAUCACAGGGUAGGACUAAAAGUAAGAAAAACUGAUUUUCAAAACUUGUAACGAGUUUGUAGCCAGAGGGAGGGUAUUUUCUUGCUCCCAACGUCAACACAAAUCUCAUAGUGUUUGAAAAUCACUGUUUUUAAACUGUCUUAACUUAUGAUGUCUUCAGGUGGAACUUUUUACUUCAUAUUUUUUCUACUAAAUAUAGAAAUGUGCCGUUUCCACAUCUGUAGACACUGGUAUUGUGCUGGAGAUAAUGAAAAUGAGCUUGAAAAGUGGGUGGAGUUGCCCUUUAAAGAGCACAGGCAAAGUUCAAAGUUGAAAGAACCACAAUGAAUGAUCAAUAAUUUAUUUUUCUUGUCUAAACUGUAUUUGCACACAGCUAUGUAUAAGGCUAUUUUCUACUAAUUGUACCUGAUGCUACAUACAUUUUUUUGGCCAAAAUUCUGAGCUGUUAUUACUGUUUAAAGGCAAAGGAACAGUCUAUUUAUGUAUGAUUGUAUUUUUCAAAAAUGUUCUAAACUAUAUUUUGGAAAACUGGCCUGUAAACUUUUGGAAAAUGUAACUUACAAUUUGAUAGAUAUUUUUAAUCAGUGAUUUUAAUAUCAAUUCAAUAUUUGUGAACUGCUGCCAGGCUUACAAAGAAUAUAACUGAAUACAAAAUAAACAACAUUAAGCUAUA